This 559-nucleotide long non-coding RNA is filed under the name Anser brachyrhynchus (Pink-footed goose). RNAcentral describes it as "lncRNA (ENSABRG00000004913.1)". Lineage: Eukaryota; Metazoa; Chordata; Aves; Anseriformes; Anatidae. The record is from RNAcentral.
AACUCACAGUCUGACCAGAGGAUGGUUGCGUUGAUGAGGUCUGUAUGGGCCACCCUUUCAUGUAUGACUGCUGUGCUGUGUAGCACUUAAGCUCUGCAAUGUUGAUUCUUCAGGCUUUGUAUUUUCCUUUCAGCUUGUAUUAAGCAUAUGUUGCUUCUCUGUACACAGGCAUCUCAAAGAAUUUCUCAGCUGCCUUUCUGUCAUCCCUGAGUCCAAAUUACAACUGUCAAUUAUACAUGAAAGGAGAGCCGUAUGGGCGGCCGAGCUGGCCCCAUGGAUCAGCGCCCGCCGCUCUGCUCACGCAAGGGAGUAAGUCUGGGAAACGUCAACGCAUAAAACCUCUGUCAGCCCUGGCUUGCAAAUUUAGAAAUGAGUCAAGUCAUCAAAGCAUGUAUUUUACUAAUAAAUCAUGUCUGAAACUCUGUGCUAUGCAAAUGAGCAAUGUAACCAGGACAUAAGCAAGACUGACUUUGUUCCUAUAAAAAGAUUUGCUUACUUUUAAAUGACGGGUUUGAAAUGAUUGAGGGGAGAGAAAAGACAUGAAAAAAACUGUGACACA